GAAUUUUGUCGCUAUCUUUUCUUGUUACGAAGGAGAUGCACACACAUGAAAUACAGUGAAUAGGGAGAUAACUCUUACAAAGAAAAUGGUUCCCCUUAGCAGGGUGAAAUUUAAAAUCGCAUAAACUAUACGAUACCAUAUGAGAAAUAUCUAAGCGACAUAUUGCGAAACAAACAUUUAUUGCAAGAACAAAAUUUGGCGGAAG
This 205-nucleotide long non-coding RNA is filed under the name Mytilus galloprovincialis (Mediterranean mussel). Lineage: Eukaryota; Metazoa; Mollusca; Bivalvia; Mytilida; Mytilidae. The record is from RNAcentral.